RNAcentral lists this ribosomal RNA (253 nucleotides) under uncultured prokaryote. RNAcentral's name for it is "partial 16S ribosomal RNA". It matches the Rfam family "Bacterial small subunit ribosomal RNA", at positions 524 to 776 of the family's 1533-position model. The record is from RNAcentral.
GACGUAGGAGGCGAGCGUUGUCCGGAUUCAUUGGGCGUAAAGGGCGCGUAGGCGGCUUGGCAAGUGGAUGGUGAAAUCCCUCGGCUUAACCGAGGAACUGCCGUCCAAACUGCUUCGCUUGAGACCGGGAGAGGUGAGUGGAAUUCCCAGUGUAGCGGUGAAAUGCGUAGAUAUUGGGAGGAACACCAGUGGCGAAGGCGGCUCACUGGACCGGUACUGACGCUGAUGCGCGAAAGCGUGGGGAGCAAACGGG